Molecule: ribosomal RNA, 97 nt
Filed under: Serratia proteamaculans
Lineage: Bacteria; Pseudomonadati; Pseudomonadota; Gammaproteobacteria; Enterobacterales; Yersiniaceae
Source: RNAcentral
GGUCCCACCUGAUCCCAUGCCGAACUCAGAAGUGAAACGCCGUAGCGCCGAUGGUAGUGUGGGGUCUCCCCAUGCGAGAGUAGGACACUGCCAGGCA